Molecule: long non-coding RNA, 372 nt
Filed under: Gossypium barbadense (sea-island cotton)
Lineage: Eukaryota; Viridiplantae; Streptophyta; Magnoliopsida; Malvales; Malvaceae
Description: long non-coding RNA (GBAR_LNC018325)
Source: RNAcentral
GUAACACCCAAUUAUUGCCCGGUCUAGUAAACGCCAAAAACAGAUAAAAAUAAUAAUAAAUAAUAAUAAAUAAAGGUCCAAAUGUCCAUUACAUUGGCCCAGUUUGAAGACCCAAGUUACAGUGGGCCUAUAUGGUCCAAACCCAGAAUACAAGGCCCAAGAAAUGAGCAGAGGCCCGAAGCAAUGGCCCAACACAAAAUCAGAAACCUUAGGGUUUCUGGGAUGAGUCUCGCGCCGCAGCCACCUAGCCAAGCUCCGAAUCUCCGUGGAUCUUCACCUGUGCAUCAAGGAAAACAAAAAUGGAAAGUAAAUCAAAAGAUUUGUAAAUCAAAUAAAGAAGCAGAUUUGUUUCUUCUUUAGAUUUAUUUCAUA